RNAcentral lists this transfer RNA (140 nucleotides) under halophilic archaeon J07HB67. RNAcentral's name for it is "tRNA-Met". It matches the Rfam family "tRNA". From Rfam's summary of the family: Transfer RNA (tRNA) molecules are approximately 80 nucleotides in length. Their secondary structure includes four short double-helical elements and three loops (D, anti-codon, and T loops). Lineage: Archaea; Methanobacteriati; Methanobacteriota; Halobacteria; Halobacteriales. The record is from RNAcentral.
GCCGGGGUGGCUUAGCUGGACAUAGCGCCGCACUCAUAGGGUUCCGAGAUUCGGUGCGGUUCCCACUCCGCUCCCAGAGGCCCGCCGAGCCUCGUACCUGGGACAUGCGGAGAUCGCGGGUUCGAAGCCCGCCCCCGGCA